This 250-nucleotide ribosomal RNA is filed under the name uncultured bacterium. RNAcentral describes it as "partial 16S ribosomal RNA". It matches the Rfam family "Bacterial small subunit ribosomal RNA", at positions 525 to 775 of the family's 1533-position model. The record is from RNAcentral.
ACGUAGGUGGCAAGCGUUGUCCGGAAUUAUUGGGCGUAAAGAGCAUGUAGGCGGGCUUUUAAGUCCGACGUGAAAAUGCGGGGCUUAACCCCGUAUGGCGUUGGAUACUGGAAGUCUUGAGUGCAGGAGAGGAAAGGGGAAUUCCCAGUGUAGCGGUGAAAUGCGUAGAUAUUGGGAGGAACACCAGUGGCGAAGGCGCCUUUCUGGACUGUGUCUGACGCUGAGAUGCGAAAGCCAGGGUAGCAAACGG